AUGGCCCUACAUCAAGGCCAGCACUUUGUUGUAGCUGCUGGUUUCAAACAAGAGCCUAAAGAGAAGUCUUUCUAGGGUCUGUUGGCUAUUUCAGAACUUAGGAUAUUAAUGAUCAAUUCAUUAGAAAGAAAUAGCU
This is a small nucleolar RNA of Cavia porcellus (domestic guinea pig), 136 nucleotides long. The record is from Ensembl. NCBI's taxonomy places the organism in Eukaryota, Metazoa, Chordata, Mammalia, Rodentia, Caviidae.